GUGAAUAUCUAAAGAAAGCAAAGGUUGCUUCAUCUGAUCUUUUAUUAUUUUAACAUUUAUUAGAGUAGUUCCUUGAGCACUUGAUGGUGUUCAACUGUUUUAUCUCACCAUUGACAUCAUCUCAUAGUUUGCAAUUUUUUGCUGGCUUUUUAUUUAUUUAUUUUAUCUACAUGAAGAAUCAUGUACAUAAUACAUAUCUCUGUUCCCUUUGCAGGAGAUGGUCAUUGCUAGCACU
RNAcentral lists this unclassified non-coding RNA (235 nucleotides) under Hevea brasiliensis (rubber tree). Lineage: Eukaryota; Viridiplantae; Streptophyta; Magnoliopsida; Malpighiales; Euphorbiaceae. The record is from RNAcentral.